GGUGUAUCGGCCCGACCCCCCGGGGUUGAUACGCGACGACCUCCGCCUCCUCCCCCCCUGGCGGGGGUCGUCUUUU
Molecule: non-coding RNA, 76 nt
Organism: Mycobacterium heraklionense
Lineage: Bacteria; Bacillati; Actinomycetota; Actinomycetes; Mycobacteriales; Mycobacteriaceae
Source: Rfam